AUGAAUCCUAGGAUAAAGUAGAAACAAGGAGGAAUCAAAGAGAAUGUAAAGAACAGUUUCUCCCCAAGAAGAACUCUGAAGAUGAUUCAUCCUUCCAAGCCAGAUCUCUUGUCGGAAAAAAAAAAAAAAAAAGUGACUGGCCCAAAGCAUAUCCAAGAGGAAGCAUUGGAAUGACCAGUUGACAGCCAGGACUUCCCACUCUAGAGUUGUCAUUGUCCCAGAAUAGAGUGACAAUUAAAAUCUUGGAGGAGUCACCCAAGAAGCAUUUGAUCUUAGGAUUAAAUGAAAUUUAUCCCCUCAAUAUUGGAGAGAAGUAGCAGAACAAAGGAACACCCUCUAUGAAACACUUAAGGAAAAUGAGAAGCUUCACAGAGAAAUUGAAGAAAGAACAAUGAAAUUGACCACUUGGAAAAGGAGAGUAAACAACUGGCAAAAGCGGCAGAGUACAGUAUAUGACAGAGGCAACCCAGAGACUGAAUGAUGAACCUCUGGAUAACUCUGAAGCACCAGAUAGUCAGGAAUUUGAUUCUGAAGAGAAAACUGGUGAAGAUUCUCAAGUGGAAAACCCAAAAAUUGGCACAUGCACUGAGAAUCCUGUCUUCCU
Molecule: long non-coding RNA, 604 nt
Filed under: Homo sapiens (human)
Lineage: Eukaryota; Metazoa; Chordata; Mammalia; Primates; Hominidae
Description: non-protein coding lnc-TMC7-9:1
Source: RNAcentral